CUAAAAGCAAUGAAGGGAACGAGUAAUCUCUAAGUCGGUGCUGAGCGAGUCAGGGACGGUGCGAGCCUGAACACACGGUAGAGACGAAGAUCCUCCCCGAGCUGCUCUCCGAAAAAAGUGUUUGAAAAGGAAGUCUCUCAAUUUGAGUCUCCCCCAAGCAAAGCUUUGAGUAGAUAGAGACGUGUUCCGCACGUUAUAGCGGGGCGCUCUUCCCGUUAGGGAGUAGCGAUAGAGUCCAGCAUCGUGAGAUUCUGGAGAAGUUGGGUGGUACCGCGCUCACCUAGAGCGUCCCAAUG
Molecule: non-coding RNA, 296 nt
Filed under: Tolypothrix bouteillei
Lineage: Bacteria; Bacillati; Cyanobacteriota; Cyanophyceae; Nostocales; Tolypothrichaceae
Description: T-box sequence
Rfam family: T-box leader
About the family: Uncharged tRNA acts as the effector for transcription antitermination of genes in the T-box leader family. T-boxes are found upstream of many aminoacyl-tRNA synthetase genes and some amino acid biosynthetic genes usually in Gram-positive bacteria. The anticodon of a specific tRNA base pairs to a specifier sequence within the T-box motif, and the NCCA acceptor tail of the tRNA base pairs to a conserved bulge in the T-box antiterminator hairpin.
Source: RNAcentral